This 253-nucleotide ribosomal RNA is filed under the name uncultured bacterium. RNAcentral describes it as "partial 16S ribosomal RNA". It matches the Rfam family "Bacterial small subunit ribosomal RNA", at positions 524 to 776 of the family's 1533-position model. The record is from RNAcentral.
UACGUAGGGUGCGAGCGUUGUCCGGAAUUAUUGGGCGUAAAGGGCUCGUAGGCGGUUUGUCGCGUCGGGAGUGAAAACCUCGGGCUUAACUCGGGGCUUGCUUUCGAUACGGGCAGACUAGAGGUAUGCAGGGGAGAACGGAAUUCCUGGUGUAGCGGUGAAAUGCGCAGAUAUCAGGAGGAACACCGGUGGCGAAGGCGACUACCUGGCCUGUUCUUGACGCUGAGGCGCGAAAGCUAGGGGAGCAAACGGG